Molecule: ribosomal RNA, 397 nt
Filed under: uncultured bacterium
Lineage: Bacteria
Description: partial 16S ribosomal RNA
Rfam family: Bacterial small subunit ribosomal RNA
Source: RNAcentral
AUACGUAGGGGGCGAGCGUUGUCCGGAAUGAUUGGGCGUAAAGGGCGCGUAGGCGGCGCGGUAAGUCUGGAGUGAAAGUCCUGCUUUCAAGGUGGGAAUUGCUUUGGAUACUGCCGCGCUUGAGUGCAGGAGAGGUUAUCGGAAUUCCCGGUGUAGCGGUGAAAUGCGUAGAGAUCGGGAGGAACACCAGUGGCGAAGGCGAGUAACUGGACUGCAACUGACGCUGAGGCGCGAAAGUGUGGGGAGCAAACAGGAUUAGAUACCCUGGUAGUCCACGCGGUAAACGAUGAAUGCUAGGUGUUGCGGGUAUCGACCCCUGCAGUGCCGGAGUCAACACAAUAAGCAUUCCGCCUGGGGAGUACGGCCGCAAGGUUGAAACUCAAAGGAAUGGGCGGGG